GUUUAAUUGAGUUUGGUGAUGGCUCUGAUUGAACGCUGUCCAAAUGCUUGACACAGGCUAAUCGAACGUUUAAUUUUAAAAAAGCGUAUUAUAUGUAAUAUGAUAAAAAAUAUUCACUUAAUUAAGCUUAUUAUUAAAAGUGGUGAACAGGUGAGUAAAAAAAAAGUAAUUACAACCUACCUUAAAGUUAGGACAAAAUCCCUAAUAAUAAAAAAAGGCUUUAACAUUUACAAUCAGUAAUAAGGCUGCUUUAAGAUGAAUCGUAAUAGAGUCGGGUUAGGCAGUAGUUAAGGUAAUGGCUUAACUAGCUUACAAUACACGUAGUCGAAGCUGAGAGGUUGAUCGACCACAUUGGGGAUGAAAAAAUCCCAAGGCAAGUAGGUACAGCAGUGAGGAAUAUUGGUCAAUGGCCUAACGGCUGAACUGGCAACUUGGAGGAAUGAGAGUAAGGUUUACUGAUUAAAUCGAACUUCGAAUAAAAUUCUGUAUGUAUAUGGUAUAAUGACAAUAUAUAUCUUAUGUCUUGACAAAUUUCGUGCCAGCAGUCGCGGUAAUACGAAAGAGACUAGUGUUAUUCAUCUUCAUUAGGUUUAAAGGGUACGUAGACGGUAAUAAUAUACAAUUGUAUAGAAUUAACAAUUGGCAAAUUAAAACUAGAGUUUUAUAUGAGAAGAUCGUACUAUUGGUGGAGAGAUGAAAUUCUGUGAUACCUCUGGGACUGGUUAAGGCGAAGGCAAUUUUCUAUGUAAAAACUGACGUUCAGGGACGAAGGCUCAGGACACCAAAAGGAUUAGGUACCCAAGUAAUCUUUGCAGAGAAUUAUGAAUGUCAUAGGUUAGGUUUUUAUUUGGCCUAUAAAUUAAAGUGUAAGCAUUCCACCUCAAGAGUAAGUUGGCAACAUCGGAACUGAAAUCACUAGACCGUUUCUGACACCAGUAGUGAAGUAUGUUGUUUAAUUCGGUGAUCCACGAAAAACCUUACCACAAUUUGUAUAUAUUUAUAUACUAAGAAUAAUCCUUUUAAUUAUUCUUAAAUAUAUAUUUAGCUAUUAAUAAUAGACAGGUGUUGCACGGCUGUUUUCAGUUAAUGUUGUGAAAUUAUGGUUAAGUCCAUGUAAUUAACGUAAGCCCUUGCUUUAUUUGUAAAAUUUUUUUGAUAAAGCUGAUUCGCCACUAUAGCGGUUGAUGAUAAUAGGGACUAAGACAAGUCAUCAUGGCUUUUACAUUGUGGGCUAUAGACGUGCCACAUACUCCUAUAACAAAGAGAUGCAAAAAUGCGAAUUUAAGCUAAUCUCAUAAAAAAGGAUAAAAAAAAAAAUAUGGAUUGUAGCCUGAAACUCGGCUGCAUGAAUAAGUAAUUACUAGUAAUCGUGAAUCACCAUGUCACGGUGAAUAAUCCUCGGAUUGGUACUAACCACUCGUCGCAUGCUGAAAGGAGUGGGUGCAAUAAUUUUGCUUUACUGUUUUAAAAUAACUAAAGUUAAUAGAUUUAGAAAAAGUUUAACGGUAUUCUUCGUAUGCGCUACUCUGAUUAGUGUUAAGUCGAAAUACGGUUCGUGUAGUGGAAGUUGCACGGGAUUGAUAAAAUUU
RNAcentral lists this ribosomal RNA (1589 nucleotides) under Pyricularia oryzae. RNAcentral's name for it is "SSU rRNA". It matches the Rfam family "Bacterial small subunit ribosomal RNA". The record is from RNAcentral. Lineage: Eukaryota; Fungi; Ascomycota; Sordariomycetes; Magnaporthales; Pyriculariaceae.